CGGGAAUUUUGGGCAAUGGGCGAAAGCCUGACCCAGCAACGCCGCGUGAAGGAUGAAAUCCUUCGGGAUGUAAACUUCGCAAGAACAGGAAGAAUAAACCGGUGUAAACACCACCGGCGAUGUCGGUACUGUUUGUAAGCACCGGCUAACUCCGUGCCAGCAGCCGCGGUAAUACGGAGGGUGCAAGCGUUGUCCGGAUUUAUUGGGUUUAAAGGGUGCGUAGGCGGCCGUUUAAGUCCGGGGUGAAAGCCCGUUGCUCAACAACGGAACUGCCCUGGAAACUGGACGGCUUGAGUACAGACGAGGGUGGCGGAAUGGAUGGUGUAGCGGUGAAAUGCAUAGAUACCAUCCAGAACCCCGAUUGCGAAGGCAGCUGCCUAGACUGUAACUGACGCUGAGGCACGAAAGCGUGGGGAGCGAAC
RNAcentral lists this ribosomal RNA (422 nucleotides) under uncultured bacterium. RNAcentral's name for it is "bacterial SSU rRNA". It matches the Rfam family "Bacterial small subunit ribosomal RNA", at positions 356 to 773 of the family's 1533-position model. The record is from RNAcentral.